This 274-nucleotide ribosomal RNA is filed under the name uncultured bacterium. RNAcentral's name for it is "partial 16S ribosomal RNA". It matches the Rfam family "Bacterial small subunit ribosomal RNA", at positions 523 to 796 of the family's 1533-position model. The record is from RNAcentral.
AUACGGAGGGAGCAAGCGUUGUUCGGAUUUACAGGGCGUAAAGCGCACGUAGGUGGCGCGACAAGUCGGGAGUGAAAUGCCACGGCCCAACCGUGGAGGUGCUUUCGAAACUGUCGUGCUAGAGGAUGAGAGGGGAAGGCGGAAUUCCAGGUGUAGCGGUGAAAUGCACAGAUAUCUGGAGGAACACCAGUGGCGAAGGCGGCCUUCUGGAUCAUACCUGACACUGAGGUGCGAAAGCGUGGGGAGCGAACAGGAUUAGAAACCCUUGUAGUCC